Molecule: ribosomal RNA, 253 nt
Filed under: uncultured bacterium
Lineage: Bacteria
Description: partial 16S ribosomal RNA
Rfam family: Bacterial small subunit ribosomal RNA
Source: RNAcentral
UACGUAGGUGGCAAGCGUUGUCCGGAAUUAUUGGGCGUAAAGCGCGCGCAGGCGGUCCUUUAAGUCUGAUGUGAAAGCCCACGGCUCAACCGUGGGGGGUCAUUGGAAACUGGGGGACUUGAGUGCAGAAGAGGAGAGUGGAAUUCCACGUGUAGCGAUGAAAUGCGUAGAGAUGUGGAGGAACACCAGUGGCGAAGGCGACUCUCUGGUCUGUAACUGACGCUGAGGCGCGAAAGCGUGGGGAGCAAACAGG